Molecule: long non-coding RNA, 564 nt
Organism: Centrocercus urophasianus (Greater sage-grouse)
Lineage: Eukaryota; Metazoa; Chordata; Aves; Galliformes; Phasianidae
Exons: 5
Source: RefSeq, a predicted model, not a curated record
UCCUCACAGUGCAGGAGGGGCGUUUCUGAAGGGCAGGUAGCUGGCGCCCGGGCCGACAAAGUUAAGAAAAUAAACAACAGAACACCUGGGAGGAGACACGUGGAGGGCUUAGAGAGGCUGAGGGGGAUCGGGAUAGCCUCGUGCAGGUGGAUGACAAGAGGAGAGUAAGGCAAAUGUUGACCGCAUCAGGACACCACAGAUGGCAACCGACACACUGCAGAUAAAAUCUAGCACCAGCCUAGCAUAUUUGAAUGCAUCAUGUAAAGCAUCUCCACAAGAUGCCUAGGAGCCAAAUAACUGCUGCUGCACAGAGCUGAAGAAGCCACAAUGAUUACCUAAACAGUGGACCAGUUGACUUACAUUGGAGUACAUGCAUCAGGAUAUCCUCAAGACAAAACAUAAGGCACAGAGCAGUUGCAGUACUUCAGCAAACCCUUGACACGUGACUGCUGCACCAGGAGGCGCCCACAGCAGGCAGGAAGAUUUCAGCACGAACCAACAACCAGGCCGCGCAACGCUCCGCCGAAACACGCAGGCGGCCCCCGCCCGCGGCGGAGCUGCCCC